AUUGAACGCUGGCGGCAUGCCUUACACAUGCAAGUCGAACGGUAACAGGUCUUCGGAUGCUGACGAGUGGCGAACGGGUGAGUAAUACAUCGGAACGUGCCCGAUCGUGGGGGAUAACGAGGCGAAAGCUUUGCUAAUACCGCAUACGAUCUACGGAUGAAAGCGGGGGAUCUUCGGACCUCGCGCGGACGGAGCGGCCGAUGGCAGAUUAGGUAGUUGGUGGGAUAAAAGCUUACCAAGCCGACGAUCUGUAGCUGGUCUGAGAGGAUGAUCAGCCACACUGGGACUGAGACACGGCCCAGACUCCUACGGGAGGCAGCAGUGGGGAAUUUUGGACAAUGGGCGAAAGCCUGAUCUAGCCAUGCCGCGUGCAGGAUGAAGGCCUUUGGGUUGUAAACUGCUUUUGUACGGAACGAAAAGCCUCUUUCUAAUAAAGAGGGGUCAUGACGGUACCGUAAGAAUAAGCACCGGCUAACUACGUG
Molecule: ribosomal RNA, 482 nt
Filed under: uncultured bacterium
Lineage: Bacteria
Description: partial 16S ribosomal RNA
Rfam family: Bacterial small subunit ribosomal RNA
Source: RNAcentral